ACGGUUGACCUCGGAUCAGGUAGGAAUACCCGCUGAACUUAAGCAUAUCAAUAAGCGG
Molecule: ribosomal RNA, 58 nt
Filed under: Verticillium dahliae
Lineage: Eukaryota; Fungi; Ascomycota; Sordariomycetes; Glomerellales; Plectosphaerellaceae
Description: partial 28S ribosomal RNA
Source: RNAcentral